Molecule: ribosomal RNA, 513 nt
Filed under: uncultured bacterium
Lineage: Bacteria
Description: bacterial SSU rRNA
Rfam family: Bacterial small subunit ribosomal RNA
Source: RNAcentral
GACGAACGCUGGCGGCGUGCCUAACACAUGCAAGUCGAACGGGACCGGGGGCAACUCCGGUUCAGUGGCGGACGGGUGCGUAACACGUGAGGAACAUGACCUUCGGCGGGGGAUAGCCGGCCCAACGGCCGGGUAAUACCGCGUACGACCUUUCGGGGACAUCCCUGGAUGGUGAAAGCAGCAAUGCGCCGAUGGAGUGCCUCGCGGCCUAUCAGCUAGUUGGUGGGGUAACGGCCUACCAAGGCGACGACGGGUAGCUGGUCUGAGAGGAUGGCCAGCCACAUUGGGACUGAGACACGGCCCAGACUCCUACGGGAGGCAGCAGUGGGGAAUAUUGCGCAAUGGACGAAAGUCUGACGCAGCGACGCCGCGUGUGGGAUGACGGUCUUCGGAUUGUAAACCACUGUCGGGAGGGACGAAUACGCCGCAAGGCGGGUGACGGUACCUCCAAAGGAAGCACCGGCUAACUCCGUGCCAGCAGCCGCGGUAAUACGGAGGGUGCGAGCGUGUCGG